GGGGCCGCCGGAGUGUGUGGCUCAGGAGUGUGGUCAGUAGCGUCUCGACUGUGGAGAAGGAAAGGCUCGGUGUCGCAAAGGCUACAGGUUCUGGAGUUAUGGACAGAGGAACUUCUGGAUCCCUCUUUUCCUGCCAUUCCUUCUCUAGAAGAGUACAGAAGCUUGUACUUAAACCAACUCACCUCCCAGAGCAACAGCCUGGUUUUCAGUUAUUAAAAGUCACACUGACCUAUAGGAGCCACCAGGUCCUUGUGCUGCAGGGACAUGCCAAACUCCUGAGGGCAGGAGGUGGUGAGCUGAAGAAGUCUUCUUCAGAGGUGGCAGCAAUUCCCUCAGCAGAAGAGGACUGGCCUGGUCAGCAGGCAUCCUCAAGCCACAGCAGCAGCUCCUGGUCACUGCCCAACUGGCCAGCACAAGGGUAAAGUUGCAAGUUGCACCACUCAUGCAAGGCUCAGCAGGGGGCACCCUGUGGGAAGAUGUGACUAACGUGUUUGAAGGGAAGGCUGUAUCUUGGAAUGCUGAUGAGUCCCAGGGAGAGAGUUUAGAGGAUGGAGUGGUGCCCGGCCACCUGACAGCAGAAUGGCAGGAACUGUUAAACUUCAAGGACACACCUGUGGACUUCACCCAGGAGGAGUGGGGGCUCCUGACCCCUGCUCACUGGAAUCUAUGCCAGGAGGAGAUGCUGGAGAACUACUAGAACCUGAUGUCACUGGCAGGAUAUCAACUUUCCAAGGCUAAUGAGAUUCCCCUGUUGGAGAAAGGAGAACCACGAGUGAGAGAGAAGUCCUAGAAGAUCCCAGAACAGACGUGAGAAGUAAAACAGAAACCAGGAAGUCAAUUGCAAAGAAUGACAUAUCCCAGAAACACUUAUAUCAUGGCAUCCAGGAACACUUAUAUCAUGGCAUUAUGAUGGAAAGAGGAGGAUGGAACUCAGGACCUUGUGCUUUCGAGCCAGGCAGUGGAACCACUGUGCAAAAUCUCCGGCCCAUCCCUAAGAUGAAUGUAAUCACUAUGUACCUCAAACAUGUACUAAUAGAAAAGAAUACUGUCUUAAGAUUUAUUUGAGGGACUGUUCUAGUCAGGGUUUUGGCAAAGGAAUACAUUUA
Heterocephalus glaber (naked mole-rat) is the source of this 1106-nucleotide long non-coding RNA. The record is from Ensembl. NCBI's taxonomy places the organism in Eukaryota, Metazoa, Chordata, Mammalia, Rodentia, Bathyergidae.